RNAcentral lists this ribosomal RNA (467 nucleotides) under uncultured bacterium. RNAcentral's name for it is "partial 16S ribosomal RNA". It matches the Rfam family "Bacterial small subunit ribosomal RNA", at positions 28 to 506 of the family's 1533-position model. The record is from RNAcentral.
GACGAACGCUGGCGGCGUGCUUAACACAUGCAAGUCGAACGGAAAGGCCCUGCUUUUGUGGUGUGCUCGAGUGGCGAACGGGUGAGUAACACGUGAGUAACCUGCCCUUGACUUUGGGAUAACUUCAGGAAACUGGGGCUAAUACCGGAUAGGAGCUCCUGCUGCAUGGUGGGGGUUGGAAAGUUUCGGCGGUUGGGGAUGGACUCGCGGGUUAUCAGCUUGUUGGUGGGGUAGUGGCUUACCAAGGCUUUGACGGGUAGCCGGCCUGAGAGGGUGACCGGCCACAUAGGGACGGAGAUACGGCCCAGACUCCUUCGGGAGGCAGGAGGGGGGAAUAUUGCACAAUGGGCGGAGGCCUGAUGCAGCAACGCCGCGUGCGGGAUGACGGCCUUCGGGUUGUAAACCGCUUUCGCCUGUGACGAAGCGUGAGGGACGGUAAUGGGUAAAGAAGCACCGGCUAACUACGG